Lycium barbarum (goji berry) is the source of this 1145-nucleotide long non-coding RNA. RefSeq lists it as uncharacterized. The transcript has 3 exons. The record is from RefSeq and is a predicted model, not a curated record. Lineage: Eukaryota; Viridiplantae; Streptophyta; Magnoliopsida; Solanales; Solanaceae.
AAAGACCAAAAUAAAACCCUUCGGAAUCCGCAUACGAAAAUGACACCGAUUAAAAAGAUGAACCGUUUCUUACCAUUAGUUAUUCUUUUAGUAUAUUAAAAUUUUAUGAAUAGCCCCUUUUUGAGAUUGUAUUAAAGUUUCAAUCUUUUCCUGUUUUCUUAGAGCUUUGAAAAUCUGGAUGAUACUUUUUGAUUGACAUACUCCAUUUUCCCCCUCUCAGUGUAUCGUGCCUUCUCUUCUUCUACAACCUAAUGUUCUCUUCCUUAAAAGAUUGAUCACUUCUUCAAAUUUCCCUGCUAAUAAUAUCUACUUCCUACCCUCACUGACAUCUUCACUACCAUGUUACAUUUACUUCUGCUUUGGGUUUUUAUAUCAGUUCGUAUUUUAUUCCUUCCGUUGCUGCAGAACUGGAUAACAAGCACUUACAAGUUCAUUCUAAGUCAAAAAAAAAAAAAAAAAAAAACCAAACAUGCUUAUUUUUUACGCCUAUGAAGUGUUCGCAAAAAUGACAUACAGAAAUCACCCACAGAUUGAGAAAAAAUCUAAGUUGGAAAAACCAUUAAUGUUGCUGGUGAUGCAGAGUAACAAAAGAAAUCAGAAGAUAAUUGAAUGUCCUUCAUGAUAUACUGAGCAGGCAAUUGGUAAACUAAAGCUCAGGUACACAGCUGUACAUUCAAAGUAAUAACCCUCCAACGCAACUACAAAAUAUUGCCAAUUGAGACGCCGGUGAAAUGGGAAACAAUCCUGCAGGCUGCAGUAAAAGAUGGAAAGGGGGAAGUCUUGCACUGUUGAUGAAAGAAAAACACAUGUAUUACCGUUGAAACAAACUCAAUUAGUGCUAAAGUGAGGAAGGAGUUGUGGAAGAGCUUAUGCGCAUCACGUAAUCUAAACAUAUGUCUAUCGUUAUUGUUGAUCUAUGGAUGCAAAUCAUUCUUUAAUAAACACUUCCAAAAAAAUGUACAAUUUUCAUGAUUGUAAACAUUGAAUAUCUUGCAAGGGAGAAAAUGUUUAUGUUGCUCUUAGAUUCGCUGUAAAUGAAUCAGCUCCGCUGGCCACUUGUACUGGAAAGAAGUUCAGUGAUCAUACCUUCCGACAUUUUUAAAGCACUAUGAUAUCAUAUAUGGCUAUACUUUAUGUUUCUGUGU